ACAACUAUAAGAGCGCGUUGGGCCCGGAGGCUUAAGGGACUACAUUUCCCAAGGGGCGCCGCGGCCGGAAGGGGCCCAGUGCGCAGGCGCACAGGGGCGCCUUGGGCUAUAUAAGGGAGGUCGGCGCGCUCCUUCAGUCUUUCGCUCCUGAGCGCGGCUGGCUCGUGCUUCCGAAAUGGGUCCCUGCUGCUGGAACCACGCGUCGUCUGCGGCGAGGUUGAUGCGCUCCUGCAGUACAGGACGGAUGAAGGUCACCCGUGGGCCUCCAAGGAAACUAGAAGACAUGUACUCUUCGACCUCCUAACCUCUGGGUUUGCUGCUGGUUGAUGUGAGGCUCCAGCAAGGAUGGGUUCCUCAUGAGAAGAUGGGUCUGUAGCAGAGCUUUGGAUACCAGCGCCUCUGUGCCCGGCUUCUCUUCCUUUGACCUGCAACACAGGUGUAUCUCAGCUGUGGAGUACAAGGCCUGUUUUCUUGCUGAAUCACUUCCACAAGAUUGUGUGUAUUCACACUUCAACCAUGUGCAGUUCUAGGCUGUCUGUUUUGAACAUGCUGUCAGUUUUUUGGUUUUUCUAGGCUUAGGAGUGAGGUAGCUCCCAGGUGCAAACUCCAGUUGUGUAAGGAAAGCAGUAAUGAAUUUCCAUCUUCGUAGCUUAAUAAAGUAAAAUUCAAUCAAGA
Molecule: long non-coding RNA, 675 nt
Organism: Jaculus jaculus (lesser Egyptian jerboa)
Lineage: Eukaryota; Metazoa; Chordata; Mammalia; Rodentia; Dipodidae
Exons: 5
Source: RefSeq, a predicted model, not a curated record